This 274-nucleotide ribosomal RNA is filed under the name uncultured bacterium. RNAcentral's name for it is "partial 16S ribosomal RNA". It matches the Rfam family "Bacterial small subunit ribosomal RNA", at positions 523 to 796 of the family's 1533-position model. The record is from RNAcentral.
AUACGGAGGGUGCAAGCGUUACUCGGAAUCACUGGGCGUAAAGCGCGCGCAGGCGGGAUGAUAAGUUGGAUGUGAAAGCCUACGGCUCAACCGUAGAACUGCAUCCAAAACUGUCAGCCUAGAGUCUGGGAGGGGAAGAUGGAAUUAGUUGUGUAGGGGUAAAAUCCGUAGAGAUAACUAGGAAUACCAAAAGCGAAGGCGAUCUUCUGGAACAGUACUGACGCUGAGGCGCGAAAGCGUGGGGAGCAAACAGGAUUAGAUACCCUAGUAGUCC